AGCGAACGCUGGCGGCAGGCCUAACACAUGCAAGUCGAACGAACUCUUCGGAGUUAGUGGCGGACGGGUGAGUAACACGUGGGAACGUACCCUUAGGUUCGGAACAACACAGGGAAACUUGUGCUAAUACCGGAUGAGCCCUUCGGGGGAAAGAUUUAUCGCCUUUGGAGCGGCCCGCGUCUGAUUAGCUUGUUGGUGAGGUAAUGGCUCACCAAGGCUACGAUCAGUAGCUGGUCUGAGAGGAUGGCCAGCCACACUGGGACUGAGACACGGCCCAGACUCCUACGGGAGGCAGCAGUGGGGAAUCUUGCGAAUGGGCGAAAGCCUGACGCAGCCAUGCCGCGUGGAUGAUGAAGGUCUUAGGAUUGUAAAAUCCUUUCACCGGGGACGAUAAUGACGGUACCCGGAGAAGAAGCCCCGGCUAACUUCGUGCCAGCCGCCGCAGUAA
This 448-nucleotide ribosomal RNA is filed under the name uncultured bacterium. RNAcentral describes it as "partial 16S ribosomal RNA". It matches the Rfam family "Bacterial small subunit ribosomal RNA", at positions 29 to 523 of the family's 1533-position model. The record is from RNAcentral.